Molecule: ribosomal RNA, 253 nt
Filed under: uncultured bacterium
Lineage: Bacteria
Description: partial 16S ribosomal RNA
Rfam family: Bacterial small subunit ribosomal RNA
Source: RNAcentral
GACGAACCGUGCGAACGUUGUUCGGAAUCACUGGGCUUAAAGGGCGCGUAGGCGGCUUGCCAAGUCGGUGGUGAAAUCCUGCAGCUUAACUGUAGAAGUGCCUCCGAUACUGGCGAGCUCGAGGGAGGUAGGGGUCUGUGGAACUUCUGGUGGAGCGGUGAAAUGCGUUGAUAUCAGAAGGAACGCCGGUGGCGAAAGCGACGGACUGGACCUCAUCUGACGCUGAGGCGCGAAAGCUAGGGGAGCAAACGGG